AGCUUUCUGUAGUAGCAGUAUCAAAGCCAGUGAGGUUUAUCUGAGGCAUGAUUAUUGCUAAUUGAAAGCUUUCCCACAUCUCUAUCUUUCAGUCUCUGCAAAUGGUCAAAUGAUAGUGAUUGACCCUUGCUAUAGAAA
Molecule: small nuclear RNA, 138 nt
Filed under: Sciurus vulgaris (Eurasian red squirrel)
Lineage: Eukaryota; Metazoa; Chordata; Mammalia; Rodentia; Sciuridae
Description: U4 spliceosomal RNA (ENSSVLG00005005603.1)
Rfam family: U4 spliceosomal RNA
About the family: U4 small nuclear RNA (U4 snRNA) is a component of the major U2-dependent spliceosome.
Source: Rfam by way of RNAcentral